RNAcentral lists this transfer RNA (57 nucleotides) under Canis lupus familiaris (dog). Lineage: Eukaryota; Metazoa; Chordata; Mammalia; Carnivora; Canidae. RNAcentral also lists the same sequence under 2 other names. The record is from Rfam by way of RNAcentral.
CCCUGGGUGGCUCAGUGGUUGAGCAUCUGUCUUUGGCUCAGAUCAUGAUCCCAGGGU